GACGAACGCUGGCGGCGUGCUUAACACAUGCAAGUCGAACGGAAAGGCCCUGCUUUUUUGGGGUGCUCGAGUGGCGAACGGGUGAGUAACACGUGAGUAACCUGCCCUUGACUUUGGGAUAACUUCAUGAAACUGGGGCUAAUACCGGAUAGGAGCUCCUGCUGCAUGGUGGGGGUGGGAAAGUUUCGGCGGUUGGGGAUGGACUCGCGGCUUAUCAGCUUCUUGGUGGGGUAGUGGCUUACCAAGGCUUUGACGGGUAGCCGGCCUGCGAGGGUGACCGGCCACAUUGGGACUGAGAUACGGCCCAGACUCCUACGGGAGGCAGCAGUGGGGAAGAUUGCACAAUGGGCGGAAGCCUGAUGCAGCAACGCCGCGUGCGGGAUGACGGCCUUCGGGUUGUAAACCGCUUUCGCCUGUGACGAAGCGUGAGUGACGGUAAUGGGUAAAGAAGCACCGGCUAACUACGUG
RNAcentral lists this ribosomal RNA (468 nucleotides) under uncultured bacterium. RNAcentral's name for it is "partial 16S ribosomal RNA". It matches the Rfam family "Bacterial small subunit ribosomal RNA", at positions 28 to 507 of the family's 1533-position model. The record is from RNAcentral.